GGCACCCUAGUGCUUACCAAGGCUGUGUUUUCACACUGAUUGUACCCAAAGAGGCGGAGUAAACCUACCCCAUAUACACCCCAACCUGGGUCCUUUGCCUGGUCUAUAUUGUGAUUGUGGGGCUAUAA
This is a small nucleolar RNA of Myotis lucifugus (little brown bat), 128 nucleotides long. Ensembl annotates it as small nucleolar RNA SNORA51. Lineage: Eukaryota; Metazoa; Chordata; Mammalia; Chiroptera; Vespertilionidae. The record is from Ensembl.